AAGACUAUAGACCUGCGGAGUACCUGCGGAGGGAUCAUUAUAGAAAAAACAUAUUGAACCUGGAGGGGGGAGAGGGGGCGUGAGCUCUCUUUCUUCUUUCUGGGCAAACAACCAACACACAUGACUAGAAAGUGACAGACUGGAUUGGAUUGGGGGGGGGGAUCUCGCAAGAGAGAAAAGUUCUUGUCUGAUAAAAUGUAGCUUGUUGAUUUGGAGUUACUACAAUCAAUACAACUUUCA
This 240-nucleotide unclassified non-coding RNA is filed under the name soil metagenome. RNAcentral describes it as "partial contains 5.8S ribosomal RNA, internal transcribed spacer 2, and large subunit ribosomal RNA". The record is from RNAcentral.